This 460-nucleotide ribosomal RNA is filed under the name uncultured bacterium. RNAcentral's name for it is "partial 16S ribosomal RNA". It matches the Rfam family "Bacterial small subunit ribosomal RNA", at positions 338 to 795 of the family's 1533-position model. The record is from RNAcentral.
CCUACGGGAGGCAGCAGUGAGGAAUAUUGGUCAAUGGGCGGAAGCCUGAACCAGCCAAGUCGCGUGAGGGAAUAAGGCCCUACGGGUCGUAAACCUCUUUUGCCGGGGAGCAAGGGCGGGGACGUGUGCCGGCCCGGAGAGUACCCGGAGAAAAAGCAUCGGCUAACUUCGUGCCAGCAGCCGCGGUAAUACGGAGGAUGCGAGCGUUAUCCGGAUUUUUUGGGUUUAAAGGGUGCGUAGGCGGGCUUUUAAGUCGGCGGUAAAAUUUCGGGGGUCAACCCUGACCGGUCGUUGAAACUGGGGGCCUUGAGUGGGCGAGAAGAAGGCGGAAUGCGUGGUGUAGCGGUGAAAUGCAUAGAUAUCACGCAGAACCCCGAUUGCGAAGGCAGCCUUCCGGCGCCCUACUGACGCUGAGGCACGAAAGUGCGGGGAUCGAACAGGAUUAGAUACCCUUGUAGUC